RNAcentral lists this ribosomal RNA (468 nucleotides) under uncultured bacterium. RNAcentral describes it as "partial 16S ribosomal RNA". It matches the Rfam family "Bacterial small subunit ribosomal RNA", at positions 28 to 507 of the family's 1533-position model. The record is from RNAcentral.
GACGAACGCUGGCGGCGUGCUUAACACAUGCAAGUCGAACGGAAAGGCCCUGCUUUUGUGGGGUGCUCGAGUGGCGAACGGGUGAGUAACACGUGAGUAACCUGCCCUUGACUUUGGGAUAACUUCAGGAAACUGGGGCUAAUACCGGAUAGGAGCUCCUGCUGCAUGGUGGGGGUUGGAAAGUUUCGGCGGUUGGGGAUGGACUCGCGGCUUAUCAGCUCGUUGGUGGGGUAGUGGCUUACCAAGGCUUUGACGGGUAGCCGGCCUGAGAGGGUGACCGGCCACAGUGGGAAUGAGAUACGGCCGAGACUCCUACGGGAGGCAGCAGUGGGGAAUAUUGCACAAUGGGCGGAAGCCUGAUGCAGCAACGCCGCGUGCGGGAUGACGGCCUUCGGGUUGUAAACCGCUUUCGCCUGUGACGAAGCGUGAGUGACGGUAAUGGGUAAAGAAGCACCGGCUAACUACGUG